Molecule: long non-coding RNA, 133 nt
Organism: Sinocyclocheilus anshuiensis
Lineage: Eukaryota; Metazoa; Chordata; Actinopteri; Cypriniformes; Cyprinidae
Exons: 4
Source: RefSeq, a predicted model, not a curated record
GUGUGUGUGUGUGUGAUAGAGAGAAACUCGCGCUCUAUCUUUCCUUAUGUGUAUGUGCAGACAUCCUCGUACCUCACCGCUCCAAACUUAAUCCAGGAAAGGUGAACAUUCCUGCAUCAUAACUUGGACUGAA